Molecule: ribosomal RNA, 428 nt
Filed under: uncultured prokaryote
Description: bacterial SSU rRNA
Rfam family: Bacterial small subunit ribosomal RNA
Source: RNAcentral
UGAGGAAUAUUGCGCAAUGGAGGAAACUCUGACGCAGCAACGCCGCGUGAGUGAAGAAGGCUUUCGGGUUGUAAAGCUCUGUCAGGUGGGAAGAAACCUUUAUAGUUGAAUAGGCUAUACAACUGACGGUACCACCAAAGGAAGCACCGGCUAACUCCGUGCCAGCAGCCGCGGUAAGACGGAGGGUGCAAGCGUUGUUCGGAAUCACUGGGCGUAAAGCGCGUGUAGGCGGCUUGACAAGUCGAAUGUGACAGCCCGGGGCUCAACCUCGGAAGUGCAUUCGAAACGGGCAGGCUGGAGUACGGGAGAGGGAAGUGGAAUUCCUGGUGUAGAGGUGAAAUGCGUAGAUAUCAGGAGGAACACCGGUGGCGAAGGCGGCUUCCUGGACCGAUACUGACGCUGAGACGCGAAAGCGUGGGGAGCAAACA